CCAGCGGAGUUGCAGUUAUUUUGGAAACUCUCAUCUCUCCACGGUCUCCUCAUCAGUGAUGACUCUCCCCCUCUCAGAGUGGUCAAACACUCGUGACGGAUGGCUUAUUGAUCCGUGGACCUGGACAUUCCUUCCCUGUCUGGAGACAAGACGCUUUGUUCGAGCAAAUCAGUUUUGCCUGAAAGACAGGGGAGGGGAUGGAAACAAAGGCCGCUGUGUGCUGAGACUCAGAGCAUGGUGAGAAUCUCAGAUUUGCCUCAACGCUUUUGAGGGGAACUUGUGGUUGCUGCAUCUUUGUUUGUCACCAGGAUCUGGAUCUAAAGAACUUGAAACACUGACCAAUCUGGGGAAAAAAUCAGCAUUGAAAAAUGGAGUAGAUCUGGUGUUUGGAAGAAUUUAAAGAGGGGUUUAAACAGUGAGGCUCAGGUUAUCAAUAUGGAUACCUUACGAAACAACAAAAAUCCAUGGGUGGUUUAUGAGAAAGAAGUGCCACACAGCAGGUUUUGUGAUCCAGCCUGCGGAGUCAGUCCUGCAGAGAAACUGAGCCCUGAGCACCUGCAGCUCCUAAAAAAUGCAUUUACCUGUCCAAAAGCUGGAGCACAGAUUUCCAGGAGUGGAAGGAACAGAGGAGGAAAUGAAGAGCGUGGAAUGAAGUUUGAAGAGUUUCAGGAGGUUCUGAGGUCUGUGAUCGGUCCAGAUAUUGAGGACACAUGGGUUGAGAGAUUCUUCAAUGAGGUAGAUAUCAGUUGUACCGCGCAGGUGAAGUGGCAGCAGCUUUGUUCCUACCUGUUUUUGGAGUACACUGAGAGAGAGCGCACCUCCAUCCCCAGAGCAGCUCUCCUGGACUCCCAGCCACAGAUCAGACACUGCUCUCACAAUAAGCGGGAGCCAACAGUGCGUGUGGUUGCUGUUUCCCAUCCUCCUCCACUCCGCUAUAUUAGUGUCAGUAAAGGGGGUCAGAUCACUGUCUGGAACAGCAGCCUACACAUCCUCAAAAGUCUAGGGCUUGCUGGAGACCCAACAGAGGAAGUGGCCAACACGAGGAGAUUCAGAGGCUGGACCACCGAUGCUGUUUAUAUGGGCAACAUCAACAAGGUUGCCAUAGUAACUGACUGCAGGGACUUGCACUUUGUCAAUGUCUCCACGGCCAGCGUAUUUGAGGAUGUUCACCUGUUUGGGUUUCGUAGUGUCCUGACUGCUCUUUGUUACUGGCAUGAUGUUCAGUGUCCAGAGCGACCCUCUCUGCUGCUACUGGGGGAUGAAAAAGGAGGACUCCACCUCAUGUGGUUCCUGAACCUAUCUAAAGGUCUUUUCAAGAAUCCGUCCAAGAAAGAGAACGGUCCACAGAGGAUCUUUUUCCCAGACCUCGGUGAACACAGCAACAUGGUCUCCUACCGUCACGUCCCCAACAUCCACCAGGAACCAAUCAACAGAGUGAUGUUUGAGCCCAGCACCAACGUCAUCAUGACAUCAUCAGAAAGUGACACCACCUCUGUGGUCUUUAUGAAUGUGACACUGAAGCAGGAGCCUUAUAUUUGGAAAUUUAAGCAGGGAGCUAAAUGUUUUGACUACAACGCGUCUCUGCAGUUGAUGGUCACAGGAGGUAGUGACCGAACCGUCAGACUGUGGACUCGAUUUGUGACCACACAUCCUGUAGCCAAACUGCUGGGUCACCACACCACUGUAUUGGAUGUUGCGAUCUACCAACCUGUUGGGCAGAUCUUCAGCUACUCCAGAGAUGCUGAGCUGAGGGUUUGGGACAUUUCCAGCCAUCACUGUCUGAAAACCGUCAGCCUGCAGUUCCCCUGCCAGCAGCCAGGUCGAAUCCCAGAACACGGCAACUUCCCCUUCCUGUUGCUGAGCCCUCCUCUUCCUGAGCAGAUACAGUCUCAUUUAGUGGUGGGAUGCAAAGAUUACCUGGCACUGCUCAGUCUGGCUGAAACAAGAAGAGGAGGGGGCGGAUGGUUGACGGAUGAAGGAAGGGAACCUGGACCAAAAAUUCAAAGUGCCCUCUCCUGCGCUCUAUACAACUCCUCUCUGAGACAGGUCGUGACUGGACACGUCGACUCAUCUGUGUCUCUGUGGGAUGUAGAGACGGGGAAGAGGCGGCUUCAGAUCUUAAACGCUCAUGGAGAAGAUGAACUGACUUGCAUGGCACUAGACUCUUCCCGCAGAAGACUGAUCACUGGGGCUCGCAAUGGCACUAUUAAGGUGUGGAAUUUACUAAACGGCCUUAACUUGCACAAACUGGAGCCUGUCACCAACUCUGAAAUCACCGGGUUGAGCUGUCUCCAUGACAACCGGCUGCUGGCUGUUGGGUGGAGCCAGCUGGUCGCUCAGUACGACAUUGCAGCUGCCAAGGAUUUGUAUGUAAGAGCAGACAUGUCGUGGAAGUCCAGCGGCGUCCACAAAUCAGACAUCCUGGCUGUAUGUCCGUGCUCUGCUCUGGGGGUCGUUGCCACGGCGAGCCAUGAUGGAGACGUCAUUAUCUGGAGGCUGGAGACACAAGGACCAGUGCUCCACCUAAAGAGACCGACACAGAGAGGAGUGGUGCCCCCUGUGGACAGCCUCUUGUUCCUGCAGCAUCGGGCCGGCAACAGAAAGUUGAGGAACAGAGGUGUCCUGGUCUCAUCACAGGCUGGCUGUCUCUGCUUUUGGAGCAUCACUGGACAGACGCACACUUACGGACAGUUCUACGCUCCAGAGCAGCCAGGUGAGCGUGUGCUGAGCCUGAGCUCAGAUCAGCCUAAAAACACCAUCCUGGUCUCUGGAGACACAAUGGGCUGGCUUCAGAUCUGGGACAUCUGUCACUUUGCACUGGACAUCCAACACGAGAUACACAGGUGUUCUCUGUCUACACAGACAGUUUGUGUGCGGCCUCCUCUGCUGCAGUGUUGGAAGGCUCAUAACAGAGCGUUACUGAGUGUGGAAGUCUUCGAGGUAGCUGACAGAUUGCUCAUCCUCACAGCCUCAGCUGACGGCUCUGCUGGAUUGUGGACGAAGGACGGAGAUCAUGUGGGUUCUUUCGGACAGGAAGUGAUGUGGAAUAUCACUGACCCAGCUACUUAUCAGAGGACAGCACAAAAGAAACUGACAGAAGACACGGAGGAGAGGACUGAAAGUGACGAAAUGGGACUCAGCAAGGUCAAAAGUCAAGUACCUAACCCCACCAACAGGGGUCAAACUUCACAGGAAAAAUGUUCUGAAGCGUCAUCCACCAGCCCAUCAGAGAAUGACCAUGAGCAACCUCAGCAACCCAUGUAUCUGUGUGAGGACUUUUGCCAGACGGUAGCUUCAUUUCAAGAGAGGAGACGUCUGUUUGAUGACAUCCGCCACAGCAAUCACUGCUGAUUGGCUUUUUUCACCCCAUCAGACUCUGGUCCUGCAGGAGAAGCCUCCACUGAGGAUUUACCCACAAUCCCCUGGGUGCGGUAUCAGAGUUUGACUGGCAGCAAAAGGCUCAGCUCAUAGCAUCUGGAAGGAAAAGAAUCAGAGAAGGAGAGAGUAAAGAAAAGGUGGCCUGUAAACGAGGGGAGGUGUCAGUUUUCCCUGCAUGUUUUCUCAUUUGAAGUUGUGCAAGAACUUGUAUUUUUUCCAGCGCUGCCUCCUCUGAACUUGCGUCUCUCUGUAGAUCAGCGUGAGACAGGGAGAAGUGAAGGAUUCAUGUAUGUGAACUGCAGCAGGGAAUUUUUGCCUGGAGCAAAACAGAGUGGAGAAAGGAGAGGGGUAGAAAAGAUGACAGAGGAGCAAAGAGGAUGAAUGUUUAAAACAGGGAAGACAUGAAGAGGAUGGGAGGAGGAGAUAUUUGAUGAGAUGAAGGAGGAGUGAAAGUGGACUAGAAGAUGACAGACGGAAGGCAAUCUUGUCACCACACCUUCUUGGAAAAAAAGGGAUGUCCAGGCAAGUCACACACUUAACACACUUUUACACAAACACCUGUAAAUCUACACUUGCACACUCACAGUCUUCCUGCCAAUCUUCCUCUUUCUGCUUUAACCCUCUGAGAGUGUGUGUGUGUUUUCUACACCCUCAUUGCACUCACUCUCAACCUACUAACCUGUCAUUUGAUGUUUGUUUACAUGCCUGGGCACACACACACCCACAAUGUACACACACACCCCUCCCUACUCUCUCUCACUCACUCUCUCUCUCUCACACACACAUACACACACAAAC
RNA transcript from Siniperca chuatsi (mandarin fish), 4176 nucleotides. It is a transcript of the gene named WD repeat-containing protein 49, with no coding region annotated. The record is from RefSeq and is a predicted model, not a curated record. Lineage: Eukaryota; Metazoa; Chordata; Actinopteri; Centrarchiformes; Sinipercidae. The transcript is spliced from 20 exons.